Molecule: long non-coding RNA, 354 nt
Filed under: Ananas comosus (pineapple)
Lineage: Eukaryota; Viridiplantae; Streptophyta; Magnoliopsida; Poales; Bromeliaceae
Description: long non-coding RNA (ACOM_LNC008599)
Source: RNAcentral
UUUUGACAUCAUUUCAAAAUUUUCAUGUAAAAUUUUAAUAUUUAAUUUUUAAUUUGAAUUUAAAUUAAUAUACUAUAAAGAUAAAGUUAAUAUAUUAAUCUAAUUACGUUUUUUAUACUUACCUGAACCAAACACCGACAAUGGGAAUGAUUUAAUCCGAUUCCGAUUCAGGUGAUGAAUCAAACAGAAUUAGGUAAUGAGUCAUUCCGAUUCCGAUUCCUGCUUAUUUCGAUUCCGAUUCUGAUUCCAAUUCCAACUUCAAACCAAACACGCCCCAAGUGUGUUAAGACUAAAGUAGCUCUAGAAUAAAUGAUCCCUUGAGAAGUGAGGAGUCACAAUUUCAUAUCCCUAUCU